Molecule: long non-coding RNA, 6885 nt
Filed under: Nicotiana tabacum (common tobacco)
Lineage: Eukaryota; Viridiplantae; Streptophyta; Magnoliopsida; Solanales; Solanaceae
Description: long non-coding RNA (NTAB_LNC000719)
Source: RNAcentral
AUACCCCAUUCCCCAUUUGACCUAACCUAAUUCUUACCCCUAUAAAAUAACCUUUAACUCCUAAAAUGAAGAAGAACGAAUCUAAGAAAAGAAGCAGCAGCUACACAAAGACCCCUCCCCAUCUUUCUCUCCAAAAAAAAUAAAAACCAGCAACGAUAAACCAUUCCAAAAAAAGAUCGGACUUAAAAAGGGUGAGAAAUCAGAAAAGAAAAAAAAAGAGUCUCCUCCCUCCUUUUCAAGCAAAUCGCAACAUCCUUAUACCAUGCUUCUUCCUAAUUUCGCCAGAAAAACAGCCGCUAAUAGCUGAUCUCGCAAGGUCAGCAAGAAGUGUUAGGGAAUCUCGUCGAGUGCUUGAGGUUGAAAUUUGGUCCGUGGUAACCUGUGCUUUGUCCGAAUUUGAAGUGUAAUCGCAUUCAAUACAUAAUUAUAUAAUACAAAGGUCUUUUCCCUUUUCUACCUUAUUUCAAUUUUUAAUUCAUGUAUCAUGAAUCAGUGGAUUAUUUUGUUAUUUAUUUAUGCUUGUUGUGUGGAAUAUAAAUAAUAGUGAUUUUUGACUUUUUCUUUUUUGGGGGAUUUUAACAUUGAUUUUACCAUAUGUUCAUCUAUUAUGGUAAAAUUUCUUCGCUUAUAAGACUGUCCAAUUCUAAACACAUAUGUUACUUUCUUUGUCAAUUUUUUGUUUUUCUUGAGGACAUGACUUGUUUAUAUCUCAUCCAUAUAUUCAUCCAUUGAACCAAACAUAACAAAUCGAGUUUCCAUAAUUUCUGACUUGGUUGAGCUGAGCGUAACAGAAGUUGACGCCGUCAUUUUAACUACAAAAUGUGAUUCCCUUGCAGUGAAGGAUCUAGUUUUUCAUUAUCUGGGUUUUCUUUUGACCAUAGAGCUCUUAUAAAAUUAGACUCAUUUUUUAUUUUUAUGUUCUUUUUUAUAGAUGGGUAGCUGUUAUUAAUUAUUUGUGAGUGUUUUCUGUUUUUUUAUUUGUAUUAGCUUUUUUUUUCUUUCUGACAUAUCUAAUUAGUCAAAUAUUGAAUAUUGGGAAUUCAUGUUUGGAUUUAAUUUAGUUUUUUUUUGUUGAAAUUUACCUAUAUAGCAACAAUAUGGUCAUAUCUACGUCCCUUUUUGUGAGUUCUCCAAAAUGUGUUAUUUAGUUCUCUUUGUUAAAAUUACCAUAGUUGUUGUUGUUUAAUAUGUGCUUAUUAUUAUGUUGCUUUUUGUUUUGUUAAUAAUACCCAGGAAAUUGGAAGCAACUUGUUAGUUUUGUGUUGGAUUAUUGAACAUCGUAGGAAUGCUUUAGGCGCGUAAUUAAAACCUCAUGACUAUGGGUACGGUUCCCGUGGCAUGGUCAUGAUACGUAAAUCUCAAUCGAGGUAUGCCAUUAGUUGAAUUUCCACGGCCCUCACAAAGUAGAAAAAUGUGUAGUUCCUUUAGGUGCGUAUUUUAAAAUUUACCUUCCUAAACUCGGGUGCGCAAAUAUGUGACCCAAAUCCAAAUCUCAACAAUGUUAGAUAAAAUGUGUUGCAGACUGCGGGUGCAUUUAUGUGACGUGGUUCAAGACGUAUUUUAAAUGAAGUCGCAAUCCUCCUUAAAAUGAAUAAAAGCGGUUAUAAAGUUAAAAUUGAACCAUAGGCUAAAACAUGUAUUAAAAUCAAGUAAAUAGGCCAAUUAUAACAGUUGAGCGACCGUGCUAGAACCACGAAACUCGGGAAUGCCUAACACCUUCUCCCGGGUUAACAAAAUUUCUCACCCAGAUUUCUGUGUUCGCAGAUUGUAAUAAAGAGUCAAUCUUUUCCUCGAUUCGGGAUUUGAACCGGUGACUUGGGACACCAUAAAAUUAUUCCAAGUGGAAACUCUGAAUUUUAAAUGAAAUAAUCCCGUUUUGAUUGUCACUUAAAUUGGACAAACUCCCUCAUAUACCCUUUCGGGGUGUAGGAAAAAGGAGGUGUGACAGCAGCAUGACAACUCCGGCCACCAUCGUUGUAACGCCAUCGGCGAGCUCAGUCACAACUGUAUCAAUGCAUGCAAAGCCACUAACGUUUGGAAGCUUUCUUCCACUUCAGUUACAAACGAUAAGAGAAGACCCAAAUGAAGGUGUAGCUAAUGGCCAACAGAAUCUAGCUGGGAAAAGAGUUGCACGAAGAACAGGAGAAGAGAUCCCACGCCAGCUCCAAUUUUCCGACCUAACAAAAUCCACGGUACAUUCUUCAUCUAUGACUCAGGAACAGGAACCAAUUGAAUAGGAAAACAGAAUAGGUGAGGUGAAGCCUUAUAAGAGGAAUCGUAGCUCUCAAAUGGGGAAAGUUCUCACAUAUAUUCCACCAGAUCUACAAGGAGAUACAAUUGUAGUAACAAUUGUAGAGGAAGACAUAAAGGAACAGCAGAGUUAUUGGAAUAACUCACUCAAUGGGUACGUGCUGGGUGAAAAUCCAUAUUUCAAAUCUACGGAGAACUAUGUUAAAAAUGUGUGGGAUUUUGUUAAUACUCCAAAGAUCUUAUACCAUGAUGAUGACUAUUACUCCCUCCAUUUCAAUUUAUGUGAACCCAUUUGACUGGGCACAGAGUUUAAGAAAAGAGAGAAGACUUUUGAACUUGUGGUGUAAAAUGAAGCACAUAUAUUUUGUGUGGCUAUNNNNNNNNNNNNNNNNNNNNNNNNNNNNNNNNNNNNNNNNNNNNNNNNNNNNNNNNGAAACGGAUGGAGUACAUAUUUAGAUUUGAUUCACCUGAAGAUAGGGAUAAAGUCAUGCAACUAGGUCCUUACACUUUUCAUAAUAAGCCAUUUAUUUUGAAAAAUUGGUCACUUGAUUUUUUCUUUGAUCCGGAGUGUUUGAACUUUGAAUGUGAUUCUAUUGUGGGUAAGAUUCCCAAAUUUGUCAGUCGGAUAUUGGUCAACUGAGGCUCUAAAUUGGAAAGUGUAGUAGGAAGGCCAAUGUAUACAGAAUUAUACACUGCUGAGAUGGAUAGAAUUUCAUUUUCCAGAGUCCUUGUAUAAACAGACAUUUCUCAUCCUCUGCCAAGUGAUAUUGAAAUUCAUACACCAGUAGGAGUUAUUCAUCAAAGCAUAGAGUAUGAUUGGAAGCCUAAAUUUUGUAUGCAUUGUGCAAAAGUUGGGCAUACCACUGAGGAAUGCAGACAGAGCAAGGAAAAAGAGACAAAUUGAGCAUUUGUAGAACAAAACAGAAGAAAGAGAAGGGGCAAAAGAAGGAAAAAGAUGGAAACUAAAUGGGUAGAAAAAGAGGUGAAUGUUCCAACAGUUGAAGAGCAAAUGGUUGAUGCUACAAAGGAGGCUGUAACUGAGCAAAAUGCAGUAGGCUCACAAAUGGAAGGAAGGCAGCUGGAUAGGAAUGAAUUCCCAGCACUCUCAGAAGUAAUAAUGAAUGAGAGAAGAUAUGAGAAGAGAAUGGUUGUGUCUACUGUGGAGGAACAAAGUUGUUCUACUAGUCAAAUUGAUACCACAAAUAGAUUUGAGAUUCUGAAUCAGGGUGGUAUUUCAGCUGAUACUGGGCAGGGUGGACAACUCCAUCCUACGCCUCUAUGAUAGUCAAUACCUAUAAUAUUAGAGGGCUGAACAUGCCCUUUAAACAGAAGGAGUUGGUGCUCUUUCUAAAAAAGUACAAGGUAGAGGUAAUGGGACUAGUUGAGACAAGGGUGAAAGAGAACAAGGCAAAAAGAAUAACCCAGAAGAUUGUUAAGGACUGAAAGUAGAGUAUAACUAUAACUAUGCAUAUAAUGGGAGAAUUAGUUAUUGUGGAAGCCUCAUAUUCACAUUCAUAUUCUUAUUGUAGAUGCACAGUUUGUUCAUUGUGAAGUGGAAGAACAAAUUAGUCAGCUUUUCACUGUUGUAUAUGCUUAUAAUGAAUCGAACUCAAGGCAGCAGUUAUGGGCAAGCUUAUUGAUAUAGGUUCUAAUAUCACAAGUGACUGACUAAUUAGUGGUGAUUUUAACAAUGUCUUACAAACAGAUGAUAGAAUUUGAGCUCCUAUAACAUUGGCAGAGGUACAAGGAUUUAAGGAGUUCUUGGAUAAACUGCAGUUCACUCCCUUAAAGCACAUGAUGGUAUUAUAUGUGAUGCAAUAAAAGGGAUGAAAAUGCAAGGGCAUAUAGCAAGAUAGAUUGGGCUUUUGGGAAUUUCAGUUGGAUGAUGAACAAUGGGCACAUUGAGGCAGAAUAUUUGAACCCUAGUGUCUCUGAUCACACUCCUAUACUGAUGAAUUGUUAGUCUUGUAUGAUUCAACAACACUUGCAUCCUAGACCAUUUAGAUUGUACCAUACUAUCCUUCACCAUCCUGAAUUAACAAGGAUAGUGAAAGCAGUAUGGGUGCAGAAUGAUAGAGAUAUAGGUAAGGCAAGGACAUGGUAUAAGCUUAGAAGACUGAAGGAGGCAUUGAGAGGCUUGAACAAUUAUGGCAUCUUAUCAGCGGAAACUGACUCAAGCAAAGCAGAAGCUGGAACUUGUUCAGCAUCAACUGUCUCUGUAGCCUUUAAGGCAAGAAUGCAUAGAACAAGAAAAGGAAGCUUUGUUAGAAGUGGAGCAAUGGAGUGACAUUGAAGAGCAGGUGUUGAGGCAAAAGUCUAGAGCUACUUGGAUUCAACAUGGAGAUGCAAAUACCAAGUACUUCCAUGCUCAGUGGAAGAUGCAUACUAAUAUUAAUGCUAUUGUUUCUAUUUAAAAUGAUGCAGGUAUUAAAUUAACAGAUCCUAAACAAGUGGAGGAGCAAUUUCUGGACUUCUUGAAGAAAUUGAUGGGUGAGUCAUCAUCAAUGCACCCUUGUCCAGAUGCUGAGGUGAUAAAAAAGGGACCUUGUCUAACAAGGAAACAACAAUUGGAGUUGAUCAAGGCAGUCACAGUGGAGGAGAUAAUGGGAGCUAUUAAAAGUAUGUCAACUAACAAGGCUCCUGGGGUAGAUGGUUUUCCAGUAGAAUUCUUCACACAACAAUGGGAGGUGAUCAGAGUAGAUGUGAUUGCUGAUGUCUUGGAUUUCUUUAAUACAGGGAAGCUACCAAAGGCCAUCAAUAGCACUGCUGUUACUCUAAUUCCUAAAGUUCCUAAUCCUACACUGGUUAAGGACUUUAGGCCAAUAGCAUGUUGCACAACUAUUUACAAGAUUAUCACAAAGAUCAUCACUGGGAGGUUAAAAGUAGUAAUGAACUAUCUGGUGAAGGACUCUCAAUCAGCUUUAAUUGAAGACAGGAAUAUAACUGAUAAUAUUCUAUUCACCCAUGAAUUGUUCAAAGGCUAUACUAGGAAAGGAAUAUCUGCAAGAUGUAUUCUCAAGGUUGAUCUUAGAAAAGCCUAUGAUACAUUGGAUUGAUUCUAUUUGAAGAGGAUGCUGAUAAGAUUGGGGUUUCCACACGAAUUUGUUUGUUGGAUAAUGGAGUGCCUAACAAUUGUAUCCUACUCUUUGACCUUAAAUGGAGGACUCACAAAGUUAUUUGAAGGUAAAAGAGGGAUAAGACAGAGAGACCCUAUGUCACCCUACUUAUUUGUGAUAGCUAUGGAGUACUUGCAAAGGGAAUUUAGUCAAUUGGCUUUAAAUAAGGAUUUUCAUUUUCAUCCAAGGUGUAAAAGACUAGGAGUGAUGCAUGUGUGUUUUGCUGAUGAUUUAUUCAUGUUCUGCAGAGCUGAUUUGAAGUCAAUUAAGUUACUCCAGAAUGCUUUUCUGAAAUUUUCAAGAGCUUCAGGCCUUCAGGCAAAUCCAGAUAAAAGCUCAGUUUACAUUGCAGGCAUAAAUGAGAGGAUGAAAGAACUUAUCUUGGAGGAGUUGGGAUAUAAUGAAGGAAUCCUACCAUUUAAAUACUUAGGGGUAUCAUUAGCUCCUAAAAAGCUAUCUAACCAACAGUGCUGGCCAUUGGUUGAAAAGAUCACUGUAAUGAUAAGUUGCUGGACCUCAAAAUUGUUGUCAUAUUCUGGAAGAUUGCAACUCAUUAAGUUAGUGAUUUUGGGAUGCAGUCUUAUUGGUCUCAGGUAUUUUUAUUACCAAAGAAGAUUAGCAAGAUGAUAGAGGCAAUAUGUAGAACUUUUAUGUGGACAGGGCAGGCUGAUAUAUCUAGAAGAGCUUUGGUAGCAUGGGACAGAGUUUGUUUACCACAAAUAAUGGGAGGUUUGAAUGUGAUAAACCUUUGUAACUGGAACAAAGUUGUAAUAGUGAAGCACAUGUAGGCAAUCACAAAGAAGAAAAACUGCUUAUGGAUUAGAUGGAUCCAUUCUUAUUACAUAAAGAACAGGAGCAUUGACCCCAUGCAUAUAACUAAGAGUGCAGCUUGGGUAAUAAGGAAGAUUAUUGAACAAAGGAAGUUUAUACUGAAUUUAUUAAGUUUACAAGGCAAUGUGCAAGAAAGACUGGAGUCCUUACAGAACACAAAUGGUAAAUUCGGUAUUAAGAAGCUCUGUAACUUGCAAACUCCUCAGGGUCGGACUGCGCACGCAAAUCGAAAAAGGCUAAAAUGAUGUAUUUGAGAUUUUGAAAUACAAAAUUAGGGUUUAAAACUCUAGAUGACCUAUUUGGUCAUCACAUACUUAUUGACUUAACUUAUGACAAUCCCUGAAGUGUGAAGGAUUUAAAUCUUUUAAGGCAUAUACAAUUCUUGGUCCUGAAGUACUACAUCCUAAGUGCAAUUUGUGCACAUAUGUAUCUUGCUAUAACUAUAAGCAUGAUAAUAUGAUAAUGAGAAUGUCUAUGGAGAUAUUGAAAAGGUCAUUCCACGAUAUUAUAUGACAUUACAUAUCUAUAAGAAUGAUGAUUUCAAGGUGCAAUAUAUUCAUUCAAGUUAAUAUGGCUGAUUUGUUUAUCAAAUCUCUACGAACAAUCUUUUGAAGAUGGUGCACACAAUUGAAAUGCGAAGGCUCAAGGAUGUGAAUUAAUGCUCUCAUCAGGGGAAGUUAAUAUGCGU